CCCGCAGGCAUCCGCCUGCGGGGUCCUGACACCGGUACCUGACACGGCCGGUGCAG
Streptomyces sp. CC53 is the source of this 56-nucleotide regulatory RNA element. It matches the Rfam family "L17-Actino-Proteobacteria ribosomal protein leader". The record is from Rfam. NCBI's taxonomy places the organism in Bacteria, Bacillati, Actinomycetota, Actinomycetes, Kitasatosporales, Streptomycetaceae.